This 552-nucleotide ribosomal RNA is filed under the name Bifidobacterium pseudocatenulatum. RNAcentral's name for it is "bacterial SSU rRNA". It matches the Rfam family "Bacterial small subunit ribosomal RNA", at positions 146 to 711 of the family's 1533-position model. Lineage: Bacteria; Bacillati; Actinomycetota; Actinomycetes; Bifidobacteriales; Bifidobacteriaceae. The record is from RNAcentral.
UCUCCUGGAAACGGGUGGUAAUGCCGGAUGCUCCGACUCCUCGCAUGGGGUGUCGGGAAAGAUUCAUCGGUAUGGGAUGGGGUCGCGUCCUAUCAGGUAGUCGGCGGGGUAACGGCCCACCGAGCCUACGACGGGUAGCCGGCCUGAGAGGGCGACCGGCCACAUUGGGACUGAGAUACGGCCCAGACUCCUACGGGAGGCAGCAGUGGGGAAUAUUGCACAAUGGGCGCAAGCCUGAUGCAGCGACGCCGCGUGCGGGAUGACGGCCUUCGGGUUGUAAACCGCUUUUGAUCGGGAGCAAGCCUUCGGGUGAGUGUACCUUUCGAAUAAGCACCGGCUAACUACGUGCCAGCAGCCGCGGUAAUACGUAGGGUGCAAGCGUUAUCCGGAAUUAUUGGGCGUAAAGGGCUCGUAGGCGGUUCGUCGCGUCCGGUGUGAAAGUCCAUCGCUUAACGGUGGAUCUGCGCCGGGUACGGGCGGGCUGGAGUGCGGUAGGGGAGACUGGAAUUCCCGGUGUAACGGUGGAAUGUGUAGAUAUCGGGAAGAACACCA